This 485-nucleotide ribosomal RNA is filed under the name uncultured bacterium. RNAcentral describes it as "partial 16S ribosomal RNA". It matches the Rfam family "Bacterial small subunit ribosomal RNA", at positions 30 to 508 of the family's 1533-position model. The record is from RNAcentral.
AUUGAACGCUAGCGGGAUGCUUUACACAUGCAAGUCGAACGGCAGCGCGGACUUCGGUCUGGCGGCGAGUGGCGAACGGGUGAGUAAUGUAUCGGAACGUGCCCAGUAGCGGGGGAUAACUACGCGAAAGCGUAGCUAAUACCGCAUACGCCCUACGGGGGAAAGCAGGGGAUCGUAAGACCUUGCACUAUUGGAGCGGCCGAUAUCGGAUUAGCUAGUUGGUGAGGUAACGGCUCACCAAGGCGACGAUCCGUAGCUGGUUUGAGAGGACGACCAGCCACACUGGGACUGAGACACGGCCCAGACUCCUACGGGAGGCAGCAGUGGGGAAUUUUGGACAAUGGGGGCAACCCUGAUCCAGCCAUCCCGCGUGGGCGAUGAAGGCCUUCGGGUUGUAAAGCACUUUUGGCAGGAAAGAAACGUCGCGGGCUAAUACCCCGUGGAACUGACGGUACCUGCAGAAUAAGCACCGGCUAACUACGUGC